UAUAUUUUUUUUCUCUUUUAAUUUGAACAUGUAAUGGGGAUAUUGAUCGUUGGCUUGCCAGACGUGUCCUUCUAGAACACUUACACCUACGAGAUAUACGUCUCAAUCGAAAAAACUCGUGUGGUGAUGAAAGAUGUGAGUGUCGACACUAUGUAGGGGAAAAAGUUCGCUUUCAAGUGGGGCAAAGUGGAUGAUAUAUUCUUUCAACAAUCACGUUCUACACUUGCGCAUCGGCAUAUUUUUUGGGAACGACGCACUUCGGUGAACCCAUUUGGCACACGGUGAGCCCAGCGAUAUGGCCUCAUCAUUUGCGAUAAAAAUCCUUAUUUCAGGCAAUCGUCCAACAGAAAUACGAUAGGCCCGUUUGCAUCCAUUUUGCUUUCCUUUUGAAUACUAGAAAUGUUUAUUUUAGGGAAAACAACGUAUAUAAGAAUUAAGAUUGAAAUGGAUCCCCCAGAAAGAUGGAUUAUCAAGAAUUCUGUCGGACAUGGUUGAAAGAAGAGGAGCUGGGCGUCUUCUCAUUUGACGUGUCACAGGGAAAAGUCGAGAGACAUUGAUAAGAAAACAUCAGCAAAGCCACACCUU
Long non-coding RNA from Daphnia carinata, 585 nucleotides. RefSeq lists it as uncharacterized. The record is from RefSeq and is a predicted model, not a curated record. The transcript is spliced from 3 exons. NCBI's taxonomy places the organism in Eukaryota, Metazoa, Arthropoda, Branchiopoda, Diplostraca, Daphniidae.